This 484-nucleotide ribosomal RNA is filed under the name uncultured bacterium. RNAcentral's name for it is "partial 16S ribosomal RNA". It matches the Rfam family "Bacterial small subunit ribosomal RNA", at positions 30 to 507 of the family's 1533-position model. The record is from RNAcentral.
AUUGAACGCUGGCGGCAGGCCUAACACAUGCAAGUCGAGCGGAUGAAGGGAGCUUGCUCCUGGUUUCAGCGGCGGACGGGUGAGUAAUGCCUAGGAAUCUGCCUGGUAGUGGGGGAUAACGUCCGGAAACGGGCGCUAAUACCGCAUACGUCCUGAGGGAGAAAGUGGGGGAUCUUCGGACCUCACGCUAUCAGAUGAGCCUAGGUCGGAUUAGCUAGUUGGUGGGGUAAAGGCCUACCAAGGCGACGAUCCGUAACUGGUCUGAGAGGAUGAUCGGUCACACUGGAACUGAGACACGGUCCAGACUCCUACGGGAGGCAGCAGUGGGGAAUAUUGGACAAUGGGCGAAAGCCUGAUCCAGCCAUGCCGCGUGUGUGAAGAAGGUCUUCGGAUUGUAAAGCACUUUAAGUUGGGAGGAAGGGCAGUAAGUUAAUACCUUGCUGGUUUGACGUUACCAACAGAAUAAGCACCGGCUAACUUCGUG